Molecule: small RNA, 17 nt
Filed under: Arabidopsis thaliana (thale cress)
Lineage: Eukaryota; Viridiplantae; Streptophyta; Magnoliopsida; Brassicales; Brassicaceae
Description: ATSL064830
Source: RNAcentral
AAGAACAAACUAUUUUU